AUGGUUCAUAUGAAUCAAGGUCAGGGAGAAACAAGCUAUGCUCGCAACUCUGCUUUUCAGAGCGCUCAGCAGAACAGAAUGAAACUCCUGAUAGAAGCAGCCAUCAUUGACUUAGGCAGCAAUACCAACACUUUGUUGCCCCAAAAGGUUGUGAUCGCUGACUUGGGCUGCUCCACUGGCCCAAAUGCCCUUGCACUUGUAUCGAUCGCCAUCAAGGCUAUUCAGAGUUACUGUCUUCAGCUCCAGCAGCCGUCACCGGAACUACUUGUGUUCCUCAAUGACCUUCCUGACAAUGACUUCAACAUGGUCGUGAAGAGCCUAGUCACGCUCCGUCAAAGCAAGAAGCCUCUUGUCAUGAUUGGUGUCACACCAGGGUCGUUUUAUGAGAGGCUCUUCACCAGUAGCUCAUUGCAUCUUGUGUGCUCAUCCAGUAGCCUACAAUGGCUCUCAAAGGCUCCUGAAGUUCUAGCGAGGAACCAUAUCCCAGCGUAUGACAUUGAUGAGAAAGCUAGGCGUGAAAGACUCCCUAUAGUCCUUCAGGCUUAUGCGGAACAAUUUAGGAAAGAUUUCACACAUUUCCUGGAGCUAAGGGCCAAAGAGUUAGCCCCAGGAGGACAGAUGGUUGUUUCCAUUAUAGGGAGGCGUUUUGAUGGUAUUGCCUCCUUUCACAUAUGGGAAAUCAUAACUCAGGUUCUUAGUGUCAUGGCUUCAGAGGGAGUAAUAGACAAAGAGAAGUUUAAUUCUUUCUACAUGCCGAUGUAUGGACCUUCAAAUGAAGAGCUGAAGGAGAUCAUCCACGAAGAGGGCUCAUUUUCAAUAAGGGAGAUGCUGGUGCAUGACUUUACAGGCGGCAUCAACAAAGAGCUCAUCACCCCAGCCUGGACCGCUAACCAGCUAAGAGCCGUGUUCGAGCAGAUACUAGUGCAGCAUUUCGGAGAUCUAAUGGAUGAUUUUGUGAAGACUUCUGAGCGUUGUUGGAGCGUGGAAGGGAGGUUGCAUGAUGAGCUUGCCAGAUUAGCUAUGCUGACAGUCUCAGUCAGCAAGGCAUGA
Molecule: ribosomal RNA, 1050 nt
Filed under: Triticum aestivum (bread wheat)
Lineage: Eukaryota; Viridiplantae; Streptophyta; Magnoliopsida; Poales; Poaceae
Description: partial small subunit ribosomal RNA
Source: RNAcentral